RNAcentral lists this transfer RNA (69 nucleotides) under Threskiornis aethiopicus (Sacred ibis). RNAcentral's name for it is "tRNA-Phe". It matches the Rfam family "tRNA". From Rfam's summary of the family: Transfer RNA (tRNA) molecules are approximately 80 nucleotides in length. Their secondary structure includes four short double-helical elements and three loops (D, anti-codon, and T loops). Further hydrogen bonds mediate the characteristic L-shaped molecular structure. tRNAs have two regions of fundamental functional importance: the anti-codon, which is responsible for specific mRNA codon recognition, and the 3' end, to which the tRNAs corresponding amino acid is attached (by aminoacyl-tRNA synthetases). tRNAs cope with the degeneracy of the genetic code in two manners: having more than one tRNA (with a specific anti-codon) for a particular amino acid; and 'wobble' base-pairing, i.e. permitting non-standard base-pairing at the 3rd anti-codon position. Lineage: Eukaryota; Metazoa; Chordata; Aves; Pelecaniformes; Threskiornithidae. The record is from RNAcentral.
GUCCUUGUAGCUUACACUCAAAGCAUAGCACUGAAGAUGCUAAGACGUUGCUUUUUGCAUCCAGGGACA